UGAGGAAUUUUGCGCAAUGGGCGAAAGCCUGAACCUGCGACGCCGCGUGAGUGAUGAAGGUCGUAAGAUCGUAAAACUCUUUUCAGGGAUCUUAGAGCACAGCUGUCAACAACAGCUGUGUGUGACUCUCCCUGGAAGAAGCCCCAGCCAACUACGUGCCAGCAGCUGCGGUAAUACGUAGGGGGCGAGCGUUGUCCGGAGUUACUGGGCGUAAAGAGCGUGUAGGCGGUUGAAAAAGUCAGGUGUGAAAUUCUUCGGCUCAACCGAGGGACUGCGCCUGAAACUUUUCGACUGGAGUUCGGGAGGGGCAACCGGCAUUCCUGGUUUAAAGGUGAAAUGUGUAGAGAUCAGGAGGAACACCCGUGGCGAAGGCGGGUUGCUGGACCGAAACUGACGCUGAGACGCGAAAGCGUGGGUAGCAAACA
Molecule: ribosomal RNA, 425 nt
Filed under: uncultured prokaryote
Description: bacterial SSU rRNA
Rfam family: Bacterial small subunit ribosomal RNA
Source: RNAcentral